Molecule: long non-coding RNA, 753 nt
Organism: Oncorhynchus keta (chum salmon)
Lineage: Eukaryota; Metazoa; Chordata; Actinopteri; Salmoniformes; Salmonidae
Exons: 4
Source: RefSeq, a predicted model, not a curated record
AGCUGGUUAACACACAUUUAGAAUGCUGCAUACGGCACCAGCCUUAGAGCGCUGACUAACUAACUUUCUCCCACUCCAUUAACAGCAUAUUGGUGAGAUCUAGUCUCUGCUGUAUAAGGUGGAUUAACAGCAUAUUGGUGAGAUCUAGUCUCUGCUGUAUAAAGUGGAUUAACAGCAUAUUGGUGAGAUCUAGUCUCUGCUGUAUAAAGUGGAUUAACAGCAUAUUGGUGAGAUCUAGUCUCAGCUGUAUAAAGUGGAUUAACAGCAUAUUGGUGAGAUCUAGUCUCAGCUGUAUAAAGUGGAUUAACAGCAUAUUGGUGAGAUCUAGUCUCAGCUGUAUAAAGUGGAUUAACAGCAUAUUGGUGAGAUCUAGUCUCAGCUGUAUAAAGUGGAUUAACAGCAUAUUGGUGAGAUCUAGUCUCAGCUGUAUAAAGUGGAUUAACAGCAUAUUGGUGAGAUCUAGUCUCAGCUGUAUAAAGUGGAUUAACAGCAUAUUGGUGAGAUCUAGUCUCAGCUGUAUAAAGUGGAUUAACAGCAUAUUGGUGAGAUCUAGUCUCAGCUGUAUAAAGUGGAUUAACAGCAUAUUGGUGAGAUCUAGUCUCAGCUGUAUAAAGUGGAUUAACAGCAUAUUGGUGAGAUCUAGUCUCAGCUGUAUAAAGUGGAUUAACAGCAUAUUGGUGAGAUCUAGUCUCAGCUGUAUAAAGUGGAUUAACAGCAUAUUGGUGAGAUCUAGUCUCAGCUGUAUAAAGUGGA